AAAAUCAACACCCUCCAGCAGGCUGAACGUUUGGGCGGACCAAUAUUGUCUCUGGGUAAUAUCGAGCCACAGCCAAGAUCGUUAGAGAAAGAAGUUUCUCCAUUAUCAAUUACUCAACCCAAGAACAGAAGUUUAGUUUACGAACCUCUAUUAUCAGAUUCUCCAAACACUAGAAGAUCUUUGGGAUCAGGAGCUCCAUUUGAUUUCUUUCAAUCGCAAUCCAGAUCGUCUUCUUCGAGCUACUCAAGAAAUUGCAAGGAUAACUGAGCUCCACUUGGUAAAAAAAGAAGUUUAUAGGCAGCAUAGUUGAUGGUAUACAAGUUCUUUGUUAGAGUUGUAAAGCAUACAAUUUUUCCAUCCCACAUGAUUUAUUUACCCUUCAAUGCCCACCUCCAUUUUUUCCCCUUACCCCAAAACAAUUGGAUUGUGUGUUUUUU
RNAcentral lists this unclassified non-coding RNA (437 nucleotides) under Hevea brasiliensis (rubber tree). Lineage: Eukaryota; Viridiplantae; Streptophyta; Magnoliopsida; Malpighiales; Euphorbiaceae. The record is from RNAcentral.